GAGCCUCAAAAGUGACUUUAUUGACCGAAGCGCCGGUGCCACCGCCGUGCCGGUGACGUGUCCCCGAGGUGUCCCCAGGGUGUCCCCGAGUGUCCCCAGCCCCGUCGCUGCGAGGGGUGGUUUGGGGCCAGGAGGUGACACCGAGCGCUGGGGAUGUGGGGACAUGAUGGCACGGGGACAUGGGGGGGACAUGGGGACACAGGGGGGACACGGGGCCUUGAGGACAUGGGGACACAGAGCCACUGGGACACGAGCAGGUGGGGACAUAGGGACAUGGUGGGACAUGGUGGGGGGACACAGGGCCACGAGCAGGUGGGGCCAUGGGGACACGGGGCCAGGGGGACACAGGGACAUGGGGACACGGGGACAGAGGGACAGAGGGACAGAGGGACACGGGGGACACGGGGACCUGGGGCCGCGGUUCCGGGCCGGAUCAAGGCACCGGCAGCAGCAGCCGGGAGGUGGCGGCGUCCUCGUCCCCGUCCCCGCGGCGGUGGCCGUCCUCGUCCUCGUCCCCGUCGCCGUCCUCGUCCCCGCGGUGGCGCACGGCCCGGCCGUGCAGGCGGCUGAAGCGACGUCCCUCCAGCCUGCGGGCGGGCGCCGGGGCCCAGGCGUCCGGGAGGGGCCCAGGCGUCCGGGGAAACACAGGUAUGUGGGGAGGCUUGGGGGGGCCCAGGCGUCCGGGAGGGGCCCAGGUGUCCAGGAAAAGGGGCCCAGGCAUCCGGGAAGGGCCCAGGCGUCCGGGAGAGGGACCCAGGUGACCGGGAAAAGGGGCCCAGGAGUCCGGGAAGGGGCCCAGGCGUCCGGGAGGGGGGCCCAGGAGUCCGGGAAGGGGCCCAGGCGUCCGGGAAGGGGCCCAGGCGUCCGGGAGGGGCCCAGGCGUCCGGGACCUACCUGUACGGCCGCCGCUGCUCCUCGGCGAGUCCCCGCCAGAGCUGGGCCAACUCCCGCGUCGCCGCCGUGGACGCCAACCCCGGCCGGGCCCUGUCCCCAAGGCACCGUCACCGUCACCGCGGCCUCCGGGGGGCGAUGGCACCCGCCACCCCCACCCG
This 1052-nucleotide long non-coding RNA is filed under the name Apteryx owenii (little spotted kiwi). RNAcentral describes it as "lncRNA (ENSAOWG00000004220.1)". The record is from RNAcentral. Lineage: Eukaryota; Metazoa; Chordata; Aves; Apterygiformes; Apterygidae.